GGAGGGAGUAUGUGGGAGUAUGUUUUUGAACCUUCUAUAGCAAAAUUUUCCAAAAAAAAGACGGAUACAGGAGUGUAACAUUUCAUACAUUGAUAUCUGAAAACCUAACGCUGCUCUUCAUUUUUUUUCUACAUUUACUAACCUAUAUGAUAUACAGCACCACAAGAAGCUAAGUGCAACAUUGUAGUAGAUCUUGGCACAUUUAGAACGUCUCCAACGGUAAGGUAGCUGCUAAUUAACUCAACGGGAAAGAGAAAUAAAAGAGAAAUAAAAGUAAAUUCAGGAGGACAACUCGAAGCUCAUGCAGGGAGAGGGGAGAGUAUCGGGGGAGACAUGCAAGCUUAGCUCUUCACCACAAAUUAGCUUGGAUGUUUCUAUACUGUUCAUUGCUUAAAAUAUUAACUUUACUGGCUCAACGCACCCGUUGGAGUCGCCCUACAUUAGAUUCCAUCUUGGGAGAUAAUCUAGGCCGCACAUAAUUCAGGUUGGUAGUUGAGCCACCCCCUUCAUUAUUUC
This 516-nucleotide long non-coding RNA is filed under the name Setaria viridis. RNAcentral's name for it is "long non-coding RNA (SVIR_LNC008891)". The record is from RNAcentral. Lineage: Eukaryota; Viridiplantae; Streptophyta; Magnoliopsida; Poales; Poaceae.